Molecule: long non-coding RNA, 2122 nt
Organism: Carassius gibelio (silver crucian carp)
Lineage: Eukaryota; Metazoa; Chordata; Actinopteri; Cypriniformes; Cyprinidae
Exons: 2
Source: RefSeq, a predicted model, not a curated record
CACUGGGUGACUAAUCCGGGCGGAACUGUAGUGUGGGAAAUAUUUCCGCCCGGACCAAUUUAAGUGAAACAUAAGUUCUGUUCCGGUUGGCCCAAGGCGGGGAAAUUAUCCAAAAUACAUGUCAGGUGUGGGAAGAGGACGUGUUGGAAACCGAUUGGAGGAUCGGGAAGGAUGCAGUGAUAUAAAAGGGGCUGGUUUAUGAACAGGAGGAGGUUUUUGUUCUGCUGUUGUUCCACGGGAUACGGAAGUGGCUGGUGUGGCGUGGAUGUUGCGAUUUACGGGCUGCAACGGAGAAUCCAAGGAAAAUGGAUAUUGGAAGUGCGGAGGAAGUUAAGUGAUCGACCUUUUGUAUGUUGUGUUUACCUCUUAUUGUGGAUUGAGUUGAAGGAGCGAUCCUACGUUUGGAAGGCCCCUGAGUGAAGGAGAUCAUUGAAUUCGUGUUGGGAGAGGACAACACUGUGCACUGUGUUGAUAGUAGUGCCUUGCGUUGGAGAUCGCUGGGAAAGACGGAGAGACUCCGGUGUACGAUAUAUCUGCCUGCUGUGGUCUGCCCUCCUGCCUUUGUCCAUCUGACCCGCCCUGUCAGGACUCUGAGCCCGAAACGGGAAUACACCACCGAUCUUCUUUCACUGAGUGUGUGGAGUGUGGUGAGUGCUGCUAUAUUGAAGUGUACACACGAGAAGAAUUGUAGUGUCUUUGUGGUGUGUGGUGUUUGUCCGUGGUUGUGUCCCUGGUCGUAGGAAGAGGCCUGACGGAGAGGAGUAGUGUAUUGGUGGCAACCACAGUCUUUACCUUAAGUAAGCUGGAGCUCGGACGUGUUGGAGGCACCUCUGGAGGAGGUUGGAUGUCGUUGCCCACGCAGCAAUCCCUGUAAGCUUUUAAAUCAAAGCCUUAUCCUUUUUUAUCCAUGUGACGUUGUGUCCUUGGCCCUGUCGGCAACCACCGGCCUUGUGCGUGUCGUCUGUGCUGUUUAUUUGACGAGGGAAGCGAAGGACAACAGCCGAUCCUCCCCCGUGUGCCCCCUUGUCAAGCUGGGCGGGAAGCCCAGUAUUGUUUGCAGUUUCAACUGUAAGGCCCACCAGCCGUCAGUCAUCGACUAAACCCGUAUCUGCUUGGAAUACAGACCUCUGAAUAUCUUCAGUGGUGAGUAGCGCAUUAACAGCCCAGCCCCGUGAAUACUCACCUGUGUAUUGAACCCUGUACUUACAUUGAGAGCUAGAACCCCUGCACGCUAACAGCUCAGCCCUGUGAAUACUUACCUGUGUAUCGAACACUGUACUUACCUGAGAGCUAGAACCCCUGCACGCUAACAGCCCAGCCCUGUGAAUACCCACCUGUGUAUGGAACACUGUAUUUACAUUGAGAGCUAGAACCCCUGCACGCUAACAGCUCAGCCCUGUGAAUACUUACCUGUGUAUCGAACACUGUACUUACCUGAGAGCUAGAACCCCUGCACGCUAACAGCCCAGCCCUGUGAAUACUUACCUGUGUAUCGAACACUGUACUUACCUGAGGGCUAGAACCCCUGCACGCUAACAGCCCAGCCCUGUGAAUACCCACCUGUGUAUCGAACACUGUAUUUACCUGAGAGCUAGAACCCCUGCACGCUAACAGCCCAGCCCUGUGAAUACUUACCUGUGUAUCGAACACUGUACUUACCUGAGAGCUAGAACCCCUGCACGCUAACAGCCCAGCCCUGUGAAUACCCACCUGUGUAUCGAACACUGUAUUUACCUGAGAGCUAGAACCCCUGCACGCUAACAGCCCAGCCCUUUGAAUACUUACCUGUGUAUGGAACACUGUACUUACUUGAGAGCUAGAACCCCUGCACGCUAACAGCUUAGCCCUGUGAAUACUCACCUGUGUAUUGAACUCUGUAUUUACCUGAGAGCUAGAACCCCUGCACGUCAACUGCCUAGCUCUUGCUUUAAACUUACCUGGAGUGGAGUCGGCGGGAAAUUAAGGGCUGAAGUGGAGUGUUGUCGAGGAAGGGCUGAAGAGGAGUGUUCUUGAGACUGGAAUCCGUAUUUGUGGAUAAAGAAUAGUUCGAGUCAUCAUUAGUUUUAAAGUUUCCUUACCCCUUUCCCCAAACUUUUAAACAAAUAAAAUUGUUACAUUUUAA